Long non-coding RNA from Daphnia magna, 746 nucleotides. RefSeq lists it as uncharacterized. The record is from RefSeq and is a predicted model, not a curated record. The transcript is spliced from 2 exons. Lineage: Eukaryota; Metazoa; Arthropoda; Branchiopoda; Diplostraca; Daphniidae.
GCUGUCUCUUCCACGAAGCAGGGGGGAAAAGUUCCCGUCGAUCGCACAAACAAAUAAGCUUAAACCGUUUAACGAUUAAACGGUGUUGAAUACCCGUGAAAGCUUAGCUCAUGGUUAUCAACAAGUUUAGACGAUAGCAGACGAUCAUCACCACGUCCAAACUUGUCAAAUCCAGUUGCUCGAGAGUUAUAAUGAAUCUAUCUGCUUAAAUGAAAUCUCUCUAAACACACUGGUAUUCUCUUUUACAACCGUCACAUAAUUGCCUUAAUUGAAGCGAUUACUUUAAUUAUCGAUCACUGAAUAUUAUUUGGCACUCUUGGUGCCAGAGAGACUUUGUUGUUUUAAAUGUUGUGAUGAUCGGUAACGCCACCGAGUGAUUUACGGGACGAUACAACACGUCAGCCCAACUUAUUUUCACAUUAGUGAAUUAUUACCAAAAUGAAACUUGACGAAAAUUGCCUACAACGCCUCUCGUUGGCCUCCCAAAAGACCGAGAAAGAACAACAGCAGCCGUCUGCAGUCAGAUCUGAUUUAUGUUUCACGAACCUGAGAUUGGAUCGGAAAAGCUCGAAGCCAGAAAGAAAGAAACAAAGAAAGCACAACAACAAUAUUCAUCACAACAGACUUCCCCUUUUUUUUACUUUAGUUUCUUUUUGUUGCUGUGGUCCUAACUUACAAAACUAAUUGAAACGAAAAACAAAAAGCAGUUGAGUAAAAUACAGUGAAAGAAGUACUCGUUUUGAGCC